RNAcentral lists this unclassified non-coding RNA (344 nucleotides) under soil metagenome. RNAcentral's name for it is "partial contains 5.8S ribosomal RNA, internal transcribed spacer 2, and large subunit ribosomal RNA". The stretch from base 1 to 121 matches the Rfam family "5.8S ribosomal RNA", at positions 35 to 154 of the family's 154-position model. The record is from RNAcentral.
GAUGAAGAACGUAGCGAAAUGCGAUAAGUAAUGCGAAUUGCAGAAUUUCCGUGAGUCAUCGAAUCUUUGAACGCACAUUGCGCCCACUGGUAUUCCGGUGGGCAUGCCUGUUCGAGCGUCAUUAUCCUCCCUCAAACCUCGGGUUUGGUGUUGGACCCAAGUUGUGUGAACAACUGGUCUUAAAGACAAUGACGGCGUCCGUGGGACCCUCGGUGCAACGAGCUUUUAGGAGCACGCGUCGAGUUUCAAGGACCUUCCGGGCCGGUCUCCUUUACCAUUUUACAAGGUUGACCUCGGAUCAGGUAGGAAUACCCGCUGAACUUAAGCAUAUCAUAAGCGGAGGA